This 71-nucleotide transfer RNA is filed under the name Marmota monax (woodchuck). RNAcentral describes it as "tRNA.Ala". The record is from RNAcentral. Lineage: Eukaryota; Metazoa; Chordata; Mammalia; Rodentia; Sciuridae.
GGAGUUGUGGCUCAGGGGUUGAGCACCCAACUAGCACAUGUGAGGCCCUGGGUUUGAUCCUCAGCACUACA